GACGAACGCUGGCGGCGUGCUUAACACAUGCAAGUCGAGCGGUAAGGCCCUUUCGGGGGUACACGAGCGGCGAACGGGUGAGUAACACGUGGGUGACCUGCCCUCAGCUCUGGGAUAAGCCUGGGAAACCGGGUCUAAUACUGGAUAUGACUCCAUGACGCAUGUUGUGGGGUGGAAAGCCUUGUGCGGCUGAGGAUGGGCCCGCGGCCUAUCAGCUUGUUGGGUGGGGUGAUGGCCUACCAAGGCGACGACGGGUAGCCGGCCUGAGAGGGCGACCGGCCACACUGGGACUGAGACACGGCCCAGACUCCUACGGGAGGCAGCAGUGGGGAAUCUUGCGCAAUGGGCGAAAGCCUGACGCAGCGACGCCGCGUGAGGGAUGACGGCCU
Molecule: ribosomal RNA, 389 nt
Filed under: uncultured bacterium
Lineage: Bacteria
Description: bacterial SSU rRNA
Rfam family: Bacterial small subunit ribosomal RNA
Source: RNAcentral